AUUGAACGCUGACGGCAUGCUUUACACAUGCAAGUCGAACGGCAGCGCGGGGCAACCUGGCGGCGAGUGGCGAACGGGUGAGUAAUAUAUCGGAACGUACCCAAGAGUGGGGGAUAACGUAGCGAAAGUUACGCUAAUACCGCAUACGAUCUAAGGAUGAAAGCGGGGGAUCGCAAGACCUCGUGCUCCUGGAGCGGCCGAUAUCUGAUUAGCUAGUUGGUGAGGUAAAGGCUCACCAAGGCGACGAUCAGUAGCUGGUCUGAGAGGACGACCAGCCACACUGGAACUGAGACACGGUCCAGACUCCUACGGGAGGCAGCAGUGGGGAAUUUUGGACAAUGGGCGCAAGCCUGAUCCAGCAAUGCCGCGUGAGUGAAGAAGGCCUUCGGGUUGUAAAGCUCUUUUGUCAGGGAAGAAACGGUAGGAGCUAAUAUCUCUUGCUAAUGACGGUACCUGAAGAAUAAGCACCGGCUAACUACGUGCCAGCAGCCGCGGUAAUACGUAGGGUGCAAGCGUUAAUCGGAAUUACUGGGCGUAAAGCGUGCGCAGGCGGUUUUGUAAGUCUGUCGUGAAAGCCCCGGGCUCAACCUGGGAAUUGCGAUGGAGACUGCAAGGCUUGAAUCUGGCAGAGGGGGGUAGAAUUCCACGUGUAGCAGUGAAAUGCGUAGAGAUGUGGAGGAACACCGAUGGCGAAGGCAGCCCCCUGGGUCAAGAUUGACGCUCAUGCACGAAAGCGUGGGGAGCAAACAGGAUUAGAUACCCUGGUAGUCCACGCCCUAAACGAUGUCUACUAGUUGUCGGGUUUUAAUUAACUUGGUAACGCAGCUAACGCGUGAAGUAGACCGCCUGGGGAGUACGGUCGCAAGAUUAAAACUCAAAGGAAUUGACGGGGACCCGCACAAGCGGUGGAUGAUGUGGAUUAAUUCGAUGCAACGCGAAAAACCUUACCUACCCUUGACAUGUACGGAACCUCCGAGAGAUUGGAGGGUGCUCGAAAGAGAGCCGUAACACAGGUGCUGCAUGGCUGUCGUCAGCUCGUGUCGUGAGAUGUUGGGUUAAGUCCCGCAACGAGCGCAACCCUUGUCAUUAGUUGCUACAUUUGGUUGGGCACUCUAAUGAGACUGCCGGUGACAAACCGGAGGAAGGUGGGGAUGACGUCAAGUCCUCAUGGCCCUUAUGGGUAGGGCUUCACACGUCAUACAAUGGUACAUACAGAGGGCCGCCAACCCGCGAGGGGGAGCUAAUCCCAGAAAGUGUAUCGUAGUCCGGAUCGCAGUCUGCAACUCGACUGCGUGAAGUUGGAAUCGCUAGUAAUCGCGGAUCAGCAUGUCGCGGUGAAUACGUUCCCGGGUCU
Molecule: ribosomal RNA, 1354 nt
Filed under: uncultured bacterium
Lineage: Bacteria
Description: bacterial SSU rRNA
Rfam family: Bacterial small subunit ribosomal RNA
Source: RNAcentral